AAAACUUUCAGCAACGGAUCUCUUGGUUCUAGGCAUCGAUGAAGAACGCAGCGAAAUGCGAUAAGUAAUGUGAAUUGCAGAAUUCAGUGAAUCAUCGAAUCUUUGAACGCACAUUGCGCCCGCCAGUAUUCUGGCGGGCAUGCCUGUCUGAGCGUCA
This 157-nucleotide ribosomal RNA is filed under the name Emericellopsis stolkiae. Its description in RNAcentral is "5.8S ribosomal RNA". It matches the Rfam family "5.8S ribosomal RNA". Rfam says of the family: 5.8S ribosomal RNA (5.8S rRNA) is a component of the large subunit of the eukaryotic ribosome. It is transcribed by RNA polymerase I as part of the 45S precursor that also contains 18S and 28S rRNA. The record is from RNAcentral. Lineage: Eukaryota; Fungi; Ascomycota; Sordariomycetes; Hypocreales; Bionectriaceae.